CUACGGGAGGCAGCAGUGGGGAAUACUGCACAAUGGAGGAAACUCUGAUGCAGCAAUGCCGCGUGGAGGAUGACACUUUUCGGAGCGUAAACUCCUUUUAUAUAGGAAGAAGAUGACGGUACUAUAUGAAUAAGCGCCGGCUAACUCCGUGCCAGCAGCCGCGGUAAUACGGAGGGCGCAAGCGUUACUCGGAAUCACUGGGCGUAAAGAGCGUGUAGGCGGACUAAAAAGUCAGAAGUGAAAUCCUAUAGCUUAACUAUAGAACUGCUUCUGAAACUCUUAAUCUAGAAUAUGGGAGAGGUAGAUGGAAUUUCUGGUGUAGGGGUAAAAUCCGUAGAGAUCAGAAGGAAUACCGAUUGCGAAGGCGAUCUACUAGAACAUUAUUGACGCUGAGACGCGAAAGCGUGGGGAGCAAACAGGAUUAGAUACCCUUGUAGUC
Molecule: ribosomal RNA, 439 nt
Filed under: uncultured bacterium
Lineage: Bacteria
Description: partial 16S ribosomal RNA
Rfam family: Bacterial small subunit ribosomal RNA
Source: RNAcentral